RNAcentral lists this ribosomal RNA (519 nucleotides) under Triticum aestivum (bread wheat). RNAcentral describes it as "partial small subunit ribosomal RNA". Lineage: Eukaryota; Viridiplantae; Streptophyta; Magnoliopsida; Poales; Poaceae. The record is from RNAcentral.
GUGCAAUUGGCGAAACAUUUUAUUCAAACAAAUGUAGAACCAGAAUGGAUGGUUUUGUGCUUAUUACCGGUUCUUCCUCCCGAAUUGAGACCUAUUGUUUAUAGGUCUGGAGAUAAAGUAGUGACUUCAGACAUUAAUGAACUUUAUAAGAGAUUUAUCCGUCGGAACAACAAUCUUGCCUAUCUAUUAAAAAGAAGUGAAUUAGCGCAGCAGAUUUAGUAAUGUCCAGAAAAAUUGGUACAAGAAGCCGUGGAUACACUUCUUGAUAGUGGGUCCCGUGGGCAACCACCAAGGGAUGGUCACAAUAAAGUAUACAAAUCACUUUCAGAUGUAAUUGAAGGUAAAGAGGGAAGGUUUCGCGAGACUCUGCUUGGGAAACGGGUCGAUUACUCGGGGCAUUCUAUCAUUGUUGUGGGUCCUUCGCUUUCAUUACAUAUGUGGAUUCCCUCUAGAGAUAGCAAUAAAGCCUUUUCAACUAUUUGUAAUUCGUGAUUUAAUCACGAAAUGCGCCACUUCUAA